GACGGAGGAUGCAAGUGUUAUCCGGAAUCACUGGGCGUAAAGCGUCUGUAGGUGGUUUAAUAAGUCAACUGUUAAAUCUUGAGGCUCAACCUCAAAAUCGCAGUCGAAACUAUUAGGCUAGAGUAUAGUAGGGGUAAAGGGAAUUUCCAGUUGGAGCGGUGAAAGUGCGUAGAGAUUGGAAAGAACACCGAUGGCGAAGGCACUUUACUGGGCUAUUACUAACACUCAGAGACGAAAGCUAGGGUAGCAAAUGGG
RNAcentral lists this ribosomal RNA (255 nucleotides) under uncultured bacterium. RNAcentral describes it as "partial 16S ribosomal RNA". It matches the Rfam family "Bacterial small subunit ribosomal RNA", at positions 524 to 776 of the family's 1533-position model. The record is from RNAcentral.